CCUACGGGAGGCAGCAGUGGGGGAUAUUGCACAAUGGGGGAAACCCUGAUGCAGCGACGCCGCGUGUGGGAAGACGGUCCUCUGGAUUGUAAACCACUGUCCCCAGGGACGAAGAUGACGGUACCUGGGGAGGAAGCUCCGGCUAACUACGUGCCAGCAGCCGCGGUAAUACGUAGGGGUCGAGCGUUGUCCGGAAUUACUGGGUGUAAAGGGAGCGUAGGCGGGACUGCAAGUUGGGUGUCAAAUCUACCGGCUCAACCGGUAGCCGCACUUAAAACUGCAGUUCUUGAGUGAAGUAGAGGCAGGCGGAAUUCCUAGUGUAGCGGUGAAAUGCGUAGAUAUCAGGAGGAACACCGGCGGCGAAGGCGGCCUGCUGGACUGAAACUGACGUUGAGGCUCGAAAGCGUGGGGAGCAAACAGGAUUAGAUACCCGUGUAGUC
This 440-nucleotide ribosomal RNA is filed under the name uncultured bacterium. Its description in RNAcentral is "partial 16S ribosomal RNA". It matches the Rfam family "Bacterial small subunit ribosomal RNA", at positions 338 to 795 of the family's 1533-position model. The record is from RNAcentral.